GCGCUAUUGGUGUAAUGGUAACAUCGAAGCUUCCCAUGCUUUGGCUCCGCGUUCGAUUCGCGGGUGGCGCA
Xylariaceae sp. FL0016 is the source of this 71-nucleotide non-coding RNA. The record is from the annotation of a GenBank genome assembly. Lineage: Eukaryota; Fungi; Ascomycota; Sordariomycetes; Xylariales; Xylariaceae.